RNAcentral lists this ribosomal RNA (253 nucleotides) under uncultured bacterium. RNAcentral's name for it is "partial 16S ribosomal RNA". It matches the Rfam family "Bacterial small subunit ribosomal RNA", at positions 524 to 776 of the family's 1533-position model. The record is from RNAcentral.
UACGUAGGUGACCAGCGUUGUCCGGAUUUACUGGGCGUAAAGAGCGCGCAGGCGGUCGUUCAAGUCGAGUGUGAAAGCCCCCGGCUCAACUGGGGAGGGUCACUCGAUACUGAUCGACUUGAAGGCAGGAGAGGGAAGCGGAAUUCCCGGUGUAGUGGUGAAAUGCGCAGAUAUCGGGAGGAACACCAGUAGCGAAGGCGGCUCGCUGGGCCAUACCUGACGCUGAGACGCGAAAGCGUGGGGAGCAAACAGG